Molecule: ribosomal RNA, 440 nt
Filed under: uncultured bacterium
Lineage: Bacteria
Description: partial 16S ribosomal RNA
Rfam family: Bacterial small subunit ribosomal RNA
Source: RNAcentral
CCUACGGGGGGCUGCAGUGGGGAAUAUUGCACAAUGGGCGAAAGCCUGAUGCAGCAACGCCGCGUGAGUGAUGAAGGUCUUCGGAUUGUAAAGCUCUGUCUUUGGGGACGAUAAUGACGGUACCCAAGGAGGAAGCCACGGCUAACUACGUGCCAGCAGCCGCGGUAAUACGUAGGUGGCGAGCGUUGUCCGGAAUUACUGGGCGUAAAGGAUGCGUAGGCGGAUAUUUAAGUCAGAUGUGAAACUCCCGAGCUUAACUUGGGAACUGCAUUUGAAACUGGAUAUCUAGAGUGCGGGAGAGGAAAGUGGAAUUCCUAGUGUAGCGGUGAAAUGCGUAGAGAUUAGGAAGAACACCAGUGGCGAAGGCGACUUUCUGGACCGUAACUGACGCUGAGGCAUGAAAGCGUGGGUAGCAAACAGGAUUAGAUACCCCUGUAGUC